CAUAAUUUAUAUUUUUAGAGUUAAAAUUACUACAGAAUUUGAAAAGUGUUUGAAGUUCACCGAAGAGAACGUUUCAAUAAACCAAAAUAGCCUAAAUUUACAGGUACAUUAAAUUUAAUAAAUAAAUUAUGUUGUGUUGCAGUUUUCGGACACGUGGAGGGACCCUAUUGGGUGUUAGGAACCGACUACAAUACUUACACUGUUGUAUACAGCUGUCAAAACUUUUUAUUCUUCUGGCGAUACUAUACAAUCUGGUUUCUCGGUAGAUACCAGAUCUUCCCUACGGACGAAGAUCAAGCGGACUUUUUCAGAAAAGCAAACCAGGUCCUGGAGGUACAUAACUUUGACCCUUCCAUGAUGCAUCUUUCCAAUCAGAUGAACUGUAAUAUAUAGAUCUAAGAUUAUAAUUAUAACCUUUUUAAUCAAUUA
This is a long non-coding RNA of Homalodisca vitripennis (glassy-winged sharpshooter), 429 nucleotides long. RefSeq lists it as uncharacterized. Lineage: Eukaryota; Metazoa; Arthropoda; Insecta; Hemiptera; Cicadellidae. The record is from RefSeq and is a predicted model, not a curated record. The transcript is spliced from 2 exons.